This is a long non-coding RNA of Amphiprion ocellaris (clown anemonefish), 4199 nucleotides long. The record is from Ensembl. Lineage: Eukaryota; Metazoa; Chordata; Actinopteri; Pomacentridae.
CCGGAAGUGGUCAUCAGCAAGCGUGGAGCCAAACGACAAGAAGAUUCUCAGAGGGCGGAGCCAGAGAGCAGUGAUUGGUCAGACUGACUGAGAGCCAGAGAGCAGUGAUUGGUCAGACCGUAGAUAAUAUAGAAGACAGCUCGCUAGCGGAUCUAGUCUGCUAUAUAUCUAUGGUUAGCACGUCUGGUAGCAUCUCUGACUGCUGUUGAUCUUGUUUUUGGAGUAAAACACGGUGGAAGCUGAAUUAGUGAGGAUGACUCCUGCUCCUGUCAUCUCUAAGCUCCUCACACAUCUUUACCUGCACAUGAGGAAAAUCACUCCUGUAGAAUGCAGAUGUUCAGAGGGAGAUGAUGCCACAUCUGGUCCAGCAGAUGGAAGGUCUUGAAGUUCUCUGACUGGCCUCGACUGAAGAUGGUCGUCUCACUGGAUUUAAGGUUCAGAUGCUCAGUAACAAACUCCACCAAUGAGCCAACAGGGAAGCUUUAGGUUUAUUAAAUGUUGCUAUGAAGGUUUCGCUGUUUUUCUUUGUGAAUGCAAUGAGCUCCAACUGAAACUUGAAUUAGAACUUAGAAGUAAAUCCUUCCAUCUGAAAGGAUUUAGUUGCAUUAAUAACCUCAUAACAUUCUAAUUCUUAUUCCAGUCUUGGUUGGAAAUAGAAUCUCUGUAUUGAUUCAGGUAAAAACUGAACUUCACAGCAUGUUGGAGCAAAACAACCAGAUGAAAACUGUGAUGGUGUUGGAUUGUCAGACCGUAAUGUUGCAGCUCAAAGCAGCUUUUCUAGCUCAGUUCAUUCUGACAUUCAGCUAUGAAUCAACACAGCAGAUGGUGAUCCAUGCUGUGGAAAUCUCACAUCUCCUGAUUUAAUGGGGCUGCUUUGCACUUUUUACGCUGUUUAUUCACCAACACUUUAUUUAAUAAAAGUCCCAUCUAGUUUUUAUGAGGAAUGUGAUGUUUUAAUUUCUCUUUAAUUUCUCUGAAUAACUGCAGUCUAAUGCAACAGCUGGAAUUGUAACAUCUGUCCUGAUAUUGAGCAUGAAGUAUUGAUCAGAAUACUUAUGGUUAGCAGUCAUCCCUGAAGUUUUACAUUCAAAUCUUUACUUGUGUUGUGAACUUUGGUAAGAAGCAGAAACUUUAGCGUUGCCAUGGAUACAUGAGUGUUAAAUUCUGUCCAUGUUUCCAUUUUGGGAAAUUCAGUCCAGCAGAUGAGUUUGUUUUUACUGCCAGCUACCAUUCAGUCUGAGAUAUUAAGAAUAAAUAAAUAAAUAAAUGUGCAUAAUGUGGAAAUGAACAGAUUUUAUUUUUAUUUAUUCCUACAGCAUGUAAAGUUCCAGAAUGUGGAGGAAUUUAGUCUCACAAUCACAGACAAUAAAUAUUAUCUGAAAGUCGGGUUAUUAUUGUUUAUCAGCACAAUACAAAAAGAUUCAUGUUAGAAAUAUUCCAGUUAAGACUCUAGAAUAUCAUGAUUUAUGUAAAUUUACCUCAAUAAUAUGAAUGUUCAGGUUAAGAUUGUGCAGUGAUAUUUAUUAUGUAAGUUUAGCUGAUUAAAGUUUAUGACGCUGCACUACAAUAUUUAUUAUUUAAAUUUACAUCAUUAUUAUAAUAUUUAGGCUCAGACCCUACAGUACUGAGAUUAAGAAAUCAAAUAUUCUAUAAAAUCUAAAUACACUGAACUCAUUUGGAUAUAUUUAAGUGAGACUCUACAAUAUUAUUUAUGACACAAAUCUAUCUAAAUCAAAAUUUUAAUCAUUUUUACUCCAAACAUUUACUGGACUGAUUUAAAUAUUAAAAUCACUCCUUUCUAAUCCUCUGCUGUAUGUUCAAACCUGAGGCCUUAAAUAGAAACACACAAGUAUCUGAUUGAAGGAACUUCUGCAGAGUCCUGGUUCCACAACAUGAUGAUAGAAUUAUAGACAAACUUUAACAAAAGCUGCCUGAGAGUUUACAGCUUUUUAUGUUAGAUUUCUUCAGUAAUUUAAUGAGAGUUAUCAGCAAAAAUCAGGUGUUCAUUUGAUGAACUUCAUUUCCUAAAACAUCCAGAAUUGGAGCUCAUAUCUUUGGCAGCUGUAAAGUUUCUGCUCCUUCAAAGUUCACAACACAAUGAAUGAAUUCCUAAAACACUCUCAAUGCUGGAGAGCGUUUGAUGCUGAAGCAGUGACCAGUUUUUCUGUUUCUUCUCUGGAGAUGCACAAUGAGGGACAUCUGCAGAGACUGAGAAAGAGUCUCACCACAUCCUGACAUGAGGAAAAAGACUUUAUUGAAGACUACAAUGAGAAAAACUAUCAGACAGCAGACGGCUGCAUUCAAGGUGAGAUCUGAACAUUUGAUCUGGAACAGGAAUUCAAUAACGGCAGCAUGAGCUUCAUUUCAGUCUGUAGCUGCUGAAUUCAUGGAUGAAUCAUCUGGCACUAGAGAGGAAGACCAUCAAACAUCCACGUCAGCUGAUGGAGGUCCAAGAGUCUCACCCAACAAACAACCUACAGAGUGAAGACCUCCAAUCUGAUUGGACGGCCUCCUAUUCAGCCACAUAUAAGACAAGUACAAGAUUCUUCAGAGCUGUUCUACCACGAGCCUGACAGGAAGAACUCCAACAGCUACUGAAUGUUCCUGUGGUUCCCUCAAGGCUACAGGAGGAGCCCUACGAGGACGAGCUGGUCCACCUGAUGGUGGCCAGUCGCUGCGGUUCAAAGCCAACACCGACUACGUGGACUUCUACUGGACCACACGGAGGCCUUCAAACCGGACCAACAAGUUCAGCGACUCCCCGACUCGUGGGUCUGAGGACACUGCCGAGCCUCGGUCCAGCCGGCCUCCUGUCUGUGGGUGUUUGAGUGCUGAGAGGUUUGUGGAUGCAUGUGAACGUUCUGUGUUGAAACAGCAGCUUUGGACUCAGUAACGCCGGGAAAAACCAAGAGCUCCUUUAUUUGUGACUUCCACUAAAAAAACUGAAGAAAAUAAGUUUGCCAGGGUUCUGACUGAUAACAGAUUAUUAAAUAAUGAAAGUAAUCCUUUAAAUAUUCCUUUAAACAAUCCUUUUAGGUCUACAUUUCCUUUACACUGACUUCUUGUUAUAUGUACAAGUAUUUUGGGUGGAAUAUACCAUUAAGCCCAAUGUUCAAGGGUUCUUCUGGGAAUAUACCAUUAAACCAACCUUUUAGGUAAAUGUUCCAGGAUGUUGGGUAGAAUAUACCAUCAGAUCAACCUUUUAGGUCUACAUUGGAAGAUUUUAGAGUAGAAUAUUACUCCAAACCAUCCUUUAGGUCUACAUUUAAGGUGGAAUAUUCCUUUACACCAAGAUUUUUUGGUCUACAUUGAAGGAUUUUAGGUGGAAUAUUCCUUUGAAUGAACUUUUUAAGUUUAUGUUCAAGGAUGUUGGGUGGAAUAUACCAUCAGACCAACCUCCAAGGUCUACAGUAGUGGAUUUUAGGUGGAAUAUACCAUUAAACUCACCUUUUAGGUUUACAUUGGAGGAUUUUAGGUGGAAUAUUCCUUUUAACCAGCCCCUCAGGUCUCUUUGAGGAUUUUGGAUGGAAUACUCAGUUAAAGCAACAUUUUAGGUGCAUGUCCAAGGAUUUUUGGUGGAAUGUUCCUUUAAGGUGGAUGUUUGAGGACCUUGUAGGUGGAAUACUUCCUGAAACCAACCUUUUAGGUCAACAUUCAAAGAUUUAAGGUGGAAUAUUCCUUUAAACCAACCUGAAUUUCAUGUUUUCAUCAUUAUCAAGUGAGAAACCUCAAUCCAGACUCCUCAUAAUGACAUUUGAGAUUUAUGCUGCUGUUAUUUGUUUAGUCCAGACUAAAUGACAGAAAUCCACAACUGUAAUUUUAUUUCAGGACUCGGUUAUUAAAUGUCAAAACAAUCCAUGUGACUCUAAAAACUCAACAGCUUUAUAAACUCUAAGAUUAAACUCUCCACAAGGAUCCAAAAUAAGUUGGACUUCUACAUGAGAGCUUUAAUUAUUCUUCAUCUACUUCCUGAAAAGUUUGGUCAAUAAAAAAGACAAAAACUAAUAUUUUCAGCUGAACUAAAGACAGACUUUGUGAUUUUUCUGCUCACAUGUUGUGUUGUUGUAAACUUCCUCUUUCAAAUAAAUAGCCUCCUAACCCCCUGGAAACCAGCGUUUGUCCUGUUUUUGUGUUGCUCCUCGGUGACCCUAGACAGCCGGGUCCUAAUGUUUUUUGAGCAACACACCAUACUAUGACGU